Molecule: non-coding RNA, 112 nt
Filed under: Nocardioides sp.
Lineage: Bacteria; Bacillati; Actinomycetota; Actinomycetes; Propionibacteriales; Nocardioidaceae
Description: SAM-IV sequence
Rfam family: SAM (S-adenosyl methionine) riboswitch aptamer
About the family: SAM-IV is a mRNA element that regulates gene expression via direct sensing of S-adenosylmethionine (SAM or AdoMet).
Source: RNAcentral
GGUGAUGGUUCGUCGGCCGCACGCCUCCGGACGUGGCCGACCGGCAACCGCGUCUCCCCGACACGGUGCCCUCCGGAGAAGACCCGGGCCGCUCAGCGGUCAAGUUGGGGCC